CAUUGAGCGAGGGGCAAUGUGUAGCACUGGUUCGCAAGAAGUGCCAGGAUCAUGUCACACAAAGUGAAUUUGCAAUGACUUUUGCCGAAUUCAUUGGGAAACUAUGGAGCUACGAGAGCACUGAGAGAGUGGGCGCCAGCACAUCAGAGAACAGCGUGCACGGCCGGCUUCAAAACCCGCGUGUGAAAAUACAAACGAGCGAGUAGCCAGGAACACGAACAUGUGUGUUCACUUUAGUGCACAACUGUGUAAUCCAGAUGCGGACUAAAGGGACACAAGGCUAGAAGGUCUCAGCGCGAGCAGUGGCGGAGCGAGUGUUAAAGCCCCACGCAUCAAAGGAUAAACUGCAACUCUCUGUAUGUGUGUGUGUGUACAGCAAUCAAAGUAGACGGCAAUCCACAGUCCAUUGUGUGAUGAUCUUAAACCCACACACUAUCCAGGAGCUCAUGGCAAAUGCAGGCAGUUUGGACGUAAAAGUCGGUGGUGCAAAUCUUUACUAAUUUCCUCAAAUUCAACAAGUUCACUUGUCCAUGACAUUUCAGCCAUUGGAUUUUGAGAAUGAGGAGGAAACAGAACCAUCUGGGUGACUUGGGACCGUGCUUGACAAAUAUAAACCCCAUUACCCUUCACGAUUGGGAUUAAAAGAAACUUUAACUAUAUGUGUUCAGAAAUCUGUUAAAAGUGUCUCCCCAUGGGUGUGUGACGCAGAAGACCCACGAGUAGGGGACUUGGUCUCACGGUCAAGGCUCCACAAAACAGACUCAGUAGCAGACCUCAAAGGCACUGGUAGGUGUUGAUUACCAGAUUUUAUUGCACAAAAACAUGAAAUUGCAAAGGCAAGACCAUGAACUAUGACUCCCCAGAUCUGUUAUAUAAUCUGUGAUAUAGAACCUGGUACAAGAACAUAGAACAUGAGAGAAAACUAAAUUCAUUUUGUAAGCUUUGGUUCAGGGCAAGGAGGAAGGGCAUGGGCAUCAGGAUAUGCAACCGGGAGUCUCAGUACACUGCAAAGAGAGGAGAAUAGAUUCAGUGGUUAAAGACAUGCUAUCCAUCCAUCCAUCCAUCCAUCCAUUCGCUUCCGCUUAUCCUUUUCAGGGUCGCGGGGGGCGCUGGAGCCUAUCCCAGCUGUCAUAGGGCGAAAGGCGGGGUACACCCUGGACAGGUCGCCAGUCUGUCGCAGGGCUAAACACAUAGGGACAGACAACCAUUCACACUCACAUUCACACCUAGUGGCAAUUUGGAUUAUCCAAUUAACCUAUCCCCACAAACUGCAUGUCUUUGGACCGUGGGAGGAAGCCCAUGCUUCAUGCUAUCCAGAGAAGAAAAAUCAAAGCAGAGUCUUUCAGGCUUACACUUUGCAGGUAGAGAACUGGUGUUUGAGGGAGGUCGAGCGGACCAGGUGAGGCAGCCAGACUCCAGAGCAGGGAAUCGGUGGACUGCCAUGACUGUGGC
Astatotilapia calliptera (eastern happy) is the source of this 1452-nucleotide long non-coding RNA. The record is from Ensembl. Lineage: Eukaryota; Metazoa; Chordata; Actinopteri; Cichliformes; Cichlidae.